Molecule: unclassified non-coding RNA, 652 nt
Filed under: Hevea brasiliensis (rubber tree)
Lineage: Eukaryota; Viridiplantae; Streptophyta; Magnoliopsida; Malpighiales; Euphorbiaceae
Source: RNAcentral
GCAUGUUUGGUACACCUGAAAGGUACUUUCUUUUUCUCAUCUUUAUUCAUGCCAAGACUUGUAGAUAAUAAUUUCUUUUAUGUUUGUUUCCAUCAAUUGUAGAUAAGAUUUCUGGAUAUAAUAAUAUGGUUGAAAAAGAUGAGAAAGCAUGGAGAAAUUAUGGACUUCUGAAGGGAACUGAAAGAUGUACCAUGAUGCAAUCCUCCCUUGGUUCAUAAACACUAAACAGAGCUCUGAUAUUUCUUCAUCCAUAGAAUUUGUUGCGCUAAUGUUUUAACUGUAUACUAAGUUGCUACUACUUUUCCCAUUGAAUUUUGUCUGCCCUGAACACAUGCUAGUUAAACAUCAAUAUUGUUAAGUAUUUGGUUGCGUUUUGGUUAAUUGUUGGCAAAAUGUUUCUGAAAUUUAUUGCAGUUGUUUUAAAUUUCCAAUCUAUGAGCAAAAUUUCUUUUUAGCUGUUAAUAAGUUAUAAAAAUUUAUUGAAUAUCUUUAUUUUUUUCUGGAAUUAUCGCAAUGGCAUGUUUAAAAAAUUUGGAAACACAAAUGGGUUUGCAUUCUAAUGGGUUGAUAAACUAUAAAAAUUUAUUUUAGAUGGUCUUCUUUUGGAAAUUAUUUCUUUUGAAUUGUUUUGAGCAGGUUUGACAAAUUUGGA